RNAcentral lists this transfer RNA (72 nucleotides) under Anaerolineaceae bacterium. Its description in RNAcentral is "tRNA-His". It matches the Rfam family "tRNA". Rfam says of the family: Transfer RNA (tRNA) molecules are approximately 80 nucleotides in length. Their secondary structure includes four short double-helical elements and three loops (D, anti-codon, and T loops). Further hydrogen bonds mediate the characteristic L-shaped molecular structure. tRNAs have two regions of fundamental functional importance: the anti-codon, which is responsible for specific mRNA codon recognition, and the 3' end, to which the tRNAs corresponding amino acid is attached (by aminoacyl-tRNA synthetases). tRNAs cope with the degeneracy of the genetic code in two manners: having more than one tRNA (with a specific anti-codon) for a particular amino acid; and 'wobble' base-pairing, i.e. permitting non-standard base-pairing at the 3rd anti-codon position. RNAcentral also lists the same sequence under 1 other name. Lineage: Bacteria; Bacillati; Chloroflexota; Anaerolineae; Anaerolineales; Anaerolineaceae. The record is from RNAcentral.
GUGGAUGUAGCUCAACGGCAGAGCACCGGUCUGUGGAACCGGUGGUUGCGGGUUCAACCCCCGUCAUCCACC